UAAGCGCCGGUAAGGUGAUAUGAACCGUUAUAACCGGCGAUACCCGAAUGGGGAAACCCAGUGUGUUUCGACACACUAUCAUUAACUGAAUCCAUAGGUUAAUGAGGCGAACCGGGGGAACUGAAACAUCUAAGUACCCCGAGGAAAAGAAAUCAACCGAGAUUCCCCCAGUAGCGGCGAGCGAACGGGGAGGAGCCCAGAGCCUGAAUCAGCAUGUGUGU
RNAcentral lists this ribosomal RNA (221 nucleotides) under Salmonella enterica subsp. enterica serovar Tallahassee str. 0012. RNAcentral describes it as "partial 23S ribosomal RNA". It matches the Rfam family "Bacterial large subunit ribosomal RNA", at positions 72 to 289 of the family's 2925-position model. Lineage: Bacteria; Pseudomonadati; Pseudomonadota; Gammaproteobacteria; Enterobacterales; Enterobacteriaceae. The record is from RNAcentral.